AGAUAAUAGAUACCCAGGUAGUCCACGCCCUAAACGAUGGAUACUCGACAUACGCGAUACACAGUGUGUGUCUGAGCGAAAGCAUUAAGUAUCCCACCUGGGAAGUACGACCGCAAGGUUGAAACUCAAAGGAAUUGGCGGGGGUCGGCACAAGCGGUGGAGCAUGUGGUUUAAUUACGAUGAUACGCGAGGAACCUUACCUGGGCGUAGAAUGCCAGUUGACCGUGGGUGAAAGCUCAUUUGUAGCAAUACACAGCUGGUAAGGUGCUGCAUGGCUGUCGUCAGCUCGUGCCGUGAGGUGUUGGGUUUAAGUCCCGCAACGAGCGCAACCCCUAUCACUAGUUGCCAUCAGGUAAAGCUGGGAACUCUAGUGAAACUGCCGUCGUAAGACGCGA
This 395-nucleotide ribosomal RNA is filed under the name uncultured bacterium. RNAcentral's name for it is "bacterial SSU rRNA". It matches the Rfam family "Bacterial small subunit ribosomal RNA", at positions 775 to 1167 of the family's 1533-position model. The record is from RNAcentral.